This 656-nucleotide ribosomal RNA is filed under the name Gracilibacillus sp. SCULCB PT-2. Its description in RNAcentral is "bacterial SSU rRNA". It matches the Rfam family "Bacterial small subunit ribosomal RNA", at positions 73 to 706 of the family's 1533-position model. Lineage: Bacteria; Bacillati; Bacillota; Bacilli; Caryophanales; Bacillaceae. The record is from RNAcentral.
AUCUCUUCGGAGUGAAGCGAGUGGAACGAGCGGCGGACGGGUGAGUAACACGUGGGCAACCUACCUAUAAGACUGGGAUAACUCCGGGAAACCGGGGCUAAUACCGGAUAACACUUUUCUUCACAUGAAGGGAAGUUGAAAGAUGGCUUCUUGCUAUCACUUACAGAUGGGCCCGCGGCGCAUUAGCUAGUUGGUGAGGUAAGAGCUCACCAAGGCGACGAUGCGUAGCCGACCUGAGAGGGUGAUCGGCCACACUGGGACUGAGACACGGCCCAGACUCCUACGGGAGGCAGCAGUAGGGAAUCUUCCGCAAUGGACGAAAGUCUGACGGAGCAACGCCGCGUGAACGAAGAAGGUUUUCGGAUCGUAAAGUUCUGUUGUUAGGGAAGAACAAGUACCGUUCGAAUAGGGCGGUACCUUGACGGUACCUAUCGAGGAAGCCCCGGCUAACUACGUGCCAGCAGCCGCGGUAAUACGUAGGGGGCAAGCGUUGUCCGGAAUUAUUGGGCGUAAAGCGCGCGCAGGCGGUUUCUUAAGUCUGAUGUGAAAUCUUGUGGCUCAACCACAAGCGGUCAUUGGAAACUGGGGAACUUGAGUACAGAAGAGGAGAGCGGAAUUCCACGUGUAGCGGUGAAAUGCGCAGAUAUCAGGAGGGA